Cyprinus carpio carpio is the source of this 372-nucleotide long non-coding RNA. Lineage: Eukaryota; Metazoa; Chordata; Actinopteri; Cypriniformes; Cyprinidae. The record is from Ensembl.
GCUGAACUCUGCAGGGCUCUCCAGGACCAGAGUUCCCCACCCCUGGUAUAUAAUAUAGAUUUAUGUUAUAUAAAUGUCUAAUACUUAUACUUCCAUUGAAGAUGAGACAGAAGCAGGCUCAGAGAGUGAGGGAGAGCUCACUGAGCAUCAGCCAAAUCAGACAAGUACAGUUUGUGGUCUGGAUCAUGUCAUCUGCAAUAGAUUCCAGUUGGAGCCUUUACUUGUGAUUGCCAUCAUAACGGUGAUACUGUAUAACUUCAACUGGUUCAUUCCGAGAAUCAACCCUGGUGGCACCAAAUGCCAUUUAAAGUCACAGAUCAGAUGCAAUUCAGGAAAGAGGGUGUAAAGAAAAAGCAUCAACCUGAAUCCCCU